GCUACCAUGCAGUCGCACGGUCCGCAAGGACAGUGGCGCACGGGUGAGGAACACGUAGCUGACCUGCCCCGAAGAGCGGGAUAACGGUUCGAAAGGACUGCUAAUACCGCAUAAGCUCACACUGAUUAAAUAGGUGUGAGAAAAGGCGCAAGCCGUUUCGGGAGGGGGCUGCGACCCAUCAGGUAGUUGGUAAGGUAACGGCUUACCAAGCCGACGACGGGUAACGGGUCUGAGAGGAUGAUCCGUCACACUGGGACUGAGACACGGCCCAGACUCCUACGGGAGGCAGCAGUGAGGAAUAUUGCACAAUGGGCGCAAGCCUGAUGCAGCGACGCCGCGUGGGUGAUGAAGGCUUUCGGGUCGUAAAACCCUUUUCUGUGUGACGAGUAAGGACGGUAGCACAGGAAUAAGCCUCGGCUAACUACGUGCCAGCAGCCGCGGUAAAACGUAGGAGGCGAGCGUUAUCCGGAGUUACUGGGCGUAAAGCGCGUGUAGGUGGUUGGAUACGUCUGCUGUGAAAUGUCCCGGCUUAACCGGGAGGGUGCGGCAGAUACGGUCUGACUUGAGGGUGACAGAGGAGCGUAGAAUUCCGGGUGUAGUGGUGAAAUGCGUAGAGAUCCGGAGGAAUACCAGUGGCGCAAGCGGCGCUCUGGGUCACAUCUGACACUGAGACGCGAAGGCAUGGGGAGCGAACGGGAUUAGAAACCCCGGUAGUCCAUGCAGUAAACGAUGCAGACUGGGGUGUGGGGGUACGCAAGUUAUUCUGGUGCCGAAGCUAACGCGCUAAGUUCUGCUGCUGGAAGUACGUCGCAGACUAAACUCAAGGGAUUGACGGGGG
This 838-nucleotide ribosomal RNA is filed under the name uncultured bacterium. Its description in RNAcentral is "bacterial SSU rRNA". It matches the Rfam family "Bacterial small subunit ribosomal RNA", at positions 48 to 919 of the family's 1533-position model. The record is from RNAcentral.